UACAGAGGGUGCGAGCGUUAAUCGGAAUUACUGGGCGUAAAGCGCACGUAGGUGGCUUUGCAAGUCGAUUGUGAAAUCCCCGGGCUUAACCUGGGAAUGGCAUUUGGGACUGCAAGGCUGGAGUGCGGCAGAGGAGACUGGAAUUCCUGGUGUAGCAGUGAAAUGCGUAGAUAUCAGGAGGAACACCGAUGGCGAAGGCAGGUCUCUGGGCUGACACUGACGCUCAUGCACGAAAGCGUGGGGAGCAAACAGG
RNAcentral lists this ribosomal RNA (253 nucleotides) under uncultured bacterium. RNAcentral's name for it is "partial 16S ribosomal RNA". It matches the Rfam family "Bacterial small subunit ribosomal RNA", at positions 524 to 776 of the family's 1533-position model. The record is from RNAcentral.